This 360-nucleotide long non-coding RNA is filed under the name Selaginella moellendorffii. Its description in RNAcentral is "long non-coding RNA (SMOE_LNC001043)". The record is from RNAcentral. Lineage: Eukaryota; Viridiplantae; Streptophyta; Lycopodiopsida; Selaginellales; Selaginellaceae.
GGGCAGUUGGUGGGUGGCGGUGACGUGCUCGUCGGCCCAUUCCUUUGUGUGUGGGAUGAGGUAAGAUUUCGCGCAUAAGGCGCGUGACGUCUGCCCAUCUGUCCGUUCGAUGCGAUCCCCCUCGUCCGGCCGCCAUAAUUGAAGGACGGACGGAUGGAUCGAUACAACAAUGCUACAACAGCAACAGAAAAAAAAAAAGAGGAAAGGAAAAAGAGAGAAAAUAAAGCGAAAAAGAGGAAGUUGUGUUGAUGAAUUGAAUCGAAUUGAAGUGAUGCAAGCCUUCCACCUCAAAGUUGAUUGAUUGAUUGAUUACCUCCAACGACCAAGACGGCAUGAAAUAAGCUAUAAACUUUCAGACAA